This 316-nucleotide ribosomal RNA is filed under the name Rhizophagus intraradices. Lineage: Eukaryota; Fungi; Glomeromycota; Glomeromycetes; Glomerales; Glomeraceae. The record is from RNAcentral.
CAGUCGCGUUCUCUGGGAUUCAGCCUUGCUUCUUGCUUGGUGCAUUUCCUAGUCUACGGGCCAGCAUGAAUCUUGAGCGGUGGAAAAAGGCCAGAUGAAUGUGGCAUCUUCGGAUGUGUUAUAGCUUCUGGUCGUAUACAUCGGUUGGGAUUGAGGGACUCAGCACGCCGCAAGGUCGGGUUACCCCCACGUACAUGCUUAGGAUGUUGGCAUAAUGGCUUUAAGCGACCCGUCUUGAAACACGGACCAAGGAGUCUAACAUAUAUGCGAGUGUUAUUGAAAGGGAACGAUUGAAGUGAACUCUAACAUAUAUGCG